GAUGAAGAACGCAGCGAAAUGCGAUAAGUAAUGUGAAUUGCAGAAUUCAGUGAAUCAUCGAAUCUUUGAACGCACCUUGCGCUCGUUGGUAUUCCGACGAGCAUGCCUGUUUGAGUGUCAUUAAAUUCUCAAUCUUACCAGUUUUACUGUGUAAGGCUUGGAUGUGGGGGUUUGUGCAGGUUGCCUCAGUGCGGUCUGCUCCCCUGAAAUGCAUUAGCGAGUUCAAACUGAGCUCCGUCUAUUGGUGUGAUAAUUAUCUACGCCGUGGACGGUUCUUAGACUUGCUUCUAACCGUCCGCAAGGACAACUUUUGACAAUUUGACCUCAAAUCAGGUAGGACUACCCGCUGAACUUAAGCAUAUCAAUAAGCGGAGGA
This 376-nucleotide unclassified non-coding RNA is filed under the name soil metagenome. RNAcentral describes it as "partial contains 5.8S ribosomal RNA, internal transcribed spacer 2, and large subunit ribosomal RNA". The stretch from base 1 to 120 matches the Rfam family "5.8S ribosomal RNA", at positions 35 to 154 of the family's 154-position model. The record is from RNAcentral.